CUUGACAUCCAGAGAAUUUAGCAGAGAUGCUUUAGUGCCUUCGGGAACUCUGAGACAGGUGCUGCAUGGCUGUCGUCAGCUCGUGUUGUGAAAUGUUGGGUUAAGUCCGCAACGAGCGCAACCCUUAUCCCUUUGUUGCCAGCACGUAAUGGUGGGAACUCAAAGGAGACUGCCGGUGAUAAACCGGAGGAAGGUGGGGAUGACGUCAAGUCAUCAUGGCCCUUACGAGUAGGGCUACACACGUGCUACAAUGGCGUAUACAAAGAGAAGCGACCUCGCGAGAGCAAGCGGACCUCAUAAAGUGCGUCGUAGUCCGGAUUGGAGUCUGCAACUCGACUCCAUGAAGUCGGAAUCGCUAGUAAUCGUAAAUCAGAAUGUUACGGUGAAUACGUUCCCGGGCCUUGUACACACCGCCCGUCACACCAUGGGAGUGGGUUGCAAAAGAAGUAGAUAGCUUAACCUUCGGGAGGGCGUUUACCACUUUGUGAUUCAUGACUGGGGUGAAGUCGUAACAAGGUAAGCGUAGUGCU
This 530-nucleotide ribosomal RNA is filed under the name uncultured bacterium. RNAcentral's name for it is "bacterial SSU rRNA". It matches the Rfam family "Bacterial small subunit ribosomal RNA", at positions 980 to 1509 of the family's 1533-position model. The record is from RNAcentral.